This 337-nucleotide ribosomal RNA is filed under the name uncultured Pseudomonadota bacterium. RNAcentral's name for it is "bacterial SSU rRNA". It matches the Rfam family "Bacterial small subunit ribosomal RNA", at positions 29 to 351 of the family's 1533-position model. The record is from RNAcentral. Lineage: Bacteria; Pseudomonadati; Pseudomonadota.
AACGAACGUUAGCGGCGCGCCUAACACAUGCAAGUCGAACGAGAAAGGGCUUCGGCCCCGGUACAGUGGCGGACGGGUGAGUAACACGUAGGUAAUCUGCCCCCAGGUGGUGGAUAACCCUUCGAAAGGAGGGCUAAUACGGCAUAAGACCACGAAGGCGAAAGCUUUUGAGGUCAAAGCGUGCCUCUGCAAGCAAGCACGCGCCAGGGGAUGAGCCUGCGGCCCAUCAGCUAGUUGGUAGGGUAAUGGCCUACCAAGGCAUAGACGGGUAGCUGGUCUGAGAGGAUGAUCAGCCACACUGGAACUGAGACACGGUCCAGACUCCUACGGGAGGCUG